CCCUUAGAUGUUCUGGGCCGCACGCGUGCUACACUGAGUGGAUCAGCGGGUCAGGUUGCGCGAAAGUGUUUCCUAAUCUUGAAAUCCGCUCGUGAUGGGGAUUGACGGUUGCAAUUUUCCGUCAUGAACGAGGAAUACCUUGUAAGCGCGGGUCAUCAUCCCGCGCUGAAUACGUCCCUGCCCUUUGUACACACCGCCCGUCGCUCCUACCGAUUGAGUGGUCCGGUGAGGCUUGGGAUCUGAGCGGAAAGAGCGUUUCGCUGUUUCUGCUCGGAAAACUCAGUCGAACCUUAUCAUUUAGAGGAAGGAGAAGUCGUAACA
This 321-nucleotide ribosomal RNA is filed under the name uncultured eukaryote. RNAcentral's name for it is "partial 18S ribosomal RNA". It matches the Rfam family "Eukaryotic small subunit ribosomal RNA", at positions 1470 to 1796 of the family's 1831-position model. The record is from RNAcentral.